AUCAAAUCAUUUCAACUGUUCAAAGAACCAAACCAGUUAUCGUGAUUCUCAGUCGCUUCUCCUUCUCCGACGAGUCAUGUCUUCCGGCAGCGGCGGAAUUAAGCCGUUCUUCUGCCACGUGUGCAGUCGGAGAUUCACCUGCUCCGACGAUGACUCCGAGCCUUUCUGCCCGAUCUGCCUCGAAGGUUUUGUCGAAGAAUUGCCGCCAAAUAAUCCCAACCCUAACCCUAACGUCGCAUUGCAUUUCGGCUCCGACUCUUCCUCCGAUUCCGAUUUCCCCUUCCAUCCUCUCUCCCUUUUCCCUCUCUUGUUGUCCUCCGCCGUCGACUUCCAGAACCCUCACUCCGGUACCCGACCCGAAUCGGACAUGUUCGACCCGAUUCUCUUUCUCCAGAACCACCUCCAAGGCCUUCGCGCUGACGGAGCCAACGUUCAGUUCGAGGUUGACCACCCUGGCGAACCCGGGCUUCGCCUCCCUGCCAACCUCGGCGAUUACUUUCUUGGCCCCGGGUUGGAGCAGUUGAUCCAGCAGCUCGCCGAGAAUGAUCCGAACCGUUACGGGACGCCGCCGGCGUCGAAGGACGCCAUUGAGAAGCUGCCGACUGUGACCGUGGAUGAUGAGCUGCUGAGCUCGGAGCUGAACCAGUGUGCGGUUUGUCAGGACGAGUUUGAGAAGGGUACGCAGGUGAAGCAGAUGCCUUGCAAGCAUGUGUACCAUGAUGAGUGCUUGCUCCCCUGGCUUCAGUUGCACAAUUCUUGCCCUGUGUGUCGGUAUGAGUUGCCCACUGACGAUGCUGAUUAUGAGAAUCGGUCACAGGGGGACGGUGGUGAUGGGUCUGGGUCUGUUGGUGAGGGUGGUAGUGGUGGCAGUGGUGGCGGUGGAGGGGGAAAUAGACCUGUUCACAGGACUUUCAGAAUAUCUUUGCGGUAUCCUUUUGGUGGAGGUGGAGGUGACUCUGCUCAGGACAGUGGUGAAAGAGGAUGGGGAAAUAGGCAGGAGGGUUUGGAUUGAAAUUGGAAUAGAUAUUCAGAAGUUCAACUAAAUCACAGCAUAUGUAAUUCUUGGCUUUUAUCAUGGUAUUAAUUUGUGUUGAAAAACUGGAAACUAUGUUUAUGCAGCUCAGAGUUUCCGUGAAUAUAUUACUUGCAAUGUUAUGUUUACAAAGUCCUUAUAAGGAUUGUAAGAGAUAUUAUCAUCUGUGGCCUGUUACUUGCACAAUCAAAGGUCAAUUUUUUUUGUUUAAUCUAGUUGAUAGCUGGAAUAUGGGAUUUGCUUGCGUGAAAUCACAAGGUUAUGGAGCUUUUAGGUGCUGAUAUUGAUAACAUUUUUUCCCUGCUGGUUGUGUACAUAUCAUCUUCCAAUCAUCCAUUGUGGAGAACCAUAAUGUAUCUGCUGUCACCUUUUAUGCAAUGUUGGCAUAGACCAUAUUUCUCCUUUUGUUUA
Molecule: RNA transcript, 1444 nt
Organism: Lotus japonicus
Lineage: Eukaryota; Viridiplantae; Streptophyta; Magnoliopsida; Fabales; Fabaceae
Gene name: E3 ubiquitin-protein ligase RING1-like
Exons: 3
Source: RefSeq, a predicted model, not a curated record